UGGAAUUUGAAAACAGAAUUUUUGAGUACAUAUUCAGGAAUAUUUAUAAUGUCCCCUAUGAAGGAAUGUACAAUAGGAAAGUGAAAUACAAUAUUCAUUCAACGAAAGGUGUGUAGGUAAAGUACUGGCCUUUAUAAAAUUAAGAAAACCUAGAAAAUUGAACUGUAUGUCACAGGAAUUGACCUGGGAAUAAAAAUAUUAUCCAGAAGAAUCUCCUCCACUCCAAGUUCCUAAAUAAUUUCUAUCCAUGCCAUGCCCCUGACUCAUUUUCUCCAUUCAGAAGUCACUAGCUUUAGAGAGAUGGAGAACGAAAGUUUCCACUGUGUCACAGGAGACAUACCUAAAUUGGCACCCUCAAAACUGGUUAAUGUAAGGAAAGCUGUUUAGAGUCAGGCCACGGCAGUUCUCAGUGACAAUAUCAUUAGGCUCUCCCUGAAAAAUCUCUUGUAUCCUUGAGAGCACUAGCUUCUUCUGUGAUGUAAUAAGUGUUGUCCUGACUGCAAAUGCCUCUCAGAUAUUACUUCAGUACCUAUAGGUUUUACUAAUUGGCCUCAAAUUCAGGGGAAACAGUCAUUAGGGAGGGAGAACAAAGACGAUGAAGAAAUCAGAGAUGGGGAGAACGAAGCUGGUCUUCUGUCUUGGUAUAAAAGAAGGAAGAAAUACAUCAUCCCUGAGAAAUCUCACUGAAGCCUUGGUAGGAGUGGAAUAUGAAAAAUAGUCCUGAGGAAGGAGGGACAACAAGUAUUGUAUCGUCAUGUCAUCUCAAGAAAAACUCUCAAAACUCAUCCUGGCUGACAAUGUAGAUUAGACGCAUCAGAUGAAAUGAAUUGAAAAACUCUCCUGGGAAUGAAAGUGGUAAGGAAAUCACAUUGAUGUAUCCUAAAUGCAGUGCUAAGAGCAAUAUUCAGACUAGUCUGUGGAGAUGCUGCUGUCAUCAGAGACCACAGACAAUUAGUGGAGAAUGAUUCAGCAUUAAACUGGGAAUGGAAGAUGAUGGUUGAUAUUGUUCUAGUAGAUCUCACUACAUUAAAAAGUGUUUCUUCCAGAUAACUGAAUGAUUAUUGUAAAGCAAAUCCCGGAAUGAACUUAUGAGACCCACCAUCAGCCUGUCAAAUAAUGUGCGAAAGAAGAAAUCUGUGUCUCUCCAGGGACAAAUUGUUGCUUUCAAACCAACAGUAAAGUGUCCAUUCUA
Molecule: long non-coding RNA, 1192 nt
Organism: Rattus norvegicus (Norway rat)
Lineage: Eukaryota; Metazoa; Chordata; Mammalia; Rodentia; Muridae
Source: RefSeq, a predicted model, not a curated record